AUGAAUUAACACAGGAAUCUCUCACUUUCUUUGUGUUGCUCAGUUCGAACUAAAAAGAAAUGGUCAAGAUGAAGUCAGAGAUGAAAAAAGCAGGGGACAUGAAGAAUCUAUCCAGUGAAAACCCUAAUCCUGAAUAACUAAGUGAGCAACAGGGAACCAUUACUAAAUCAUACCCUCUGGCCUGGAGAGAUUAUGGACCUCCCAGAAAAUUGAAUCAAGCUGAAGCCUUGUGAUUUUCCCCCACAGCAUGUAUAUUAAAUGCAACAAGAUACUAUGCUAAGAUAAUGGAUGUUUUGAGUGGUUACCAUGAGGCCAUCCUCAGGGAAAACUUGACAAACUCUAUAGCCUCCUUAAUGACAACAGUUACAGACGGAGGAAAUGGAAACCCAAAGAAGUAAAAUUAGUUACCCGGGACCACAAAGCUAGUUCCUGGUAGAGACUGGACUGCCACUGAGAUGUAAGAGGUCCUGUUUGUGCAGAAGAAGUCAUCCAGGCUGAGAGAGAUUGCACAGGACUUGAAUCUGAAUCUCCUCCAUCCAACUAUGGUGCUCUUACAUGGAAGCUGGUGUGAGGGACCCAAGGGGGGACUCUCCUAAGAAGGUGCACCUGAGAAGUGCUGAUCCAAGAAUGGAUUUUUCUCAAGGUUGCUGUCCUUUGCCUCUGACCAUCAGAAGCAAAGCAAUUCUCUUAUUUGACUAAUAUCUAAAACGUUUAGGAAAUUUGUGUAUUUCAUUUUUUAAUCUAUCAGGAUUUGGAAAUCAAUCAAGAUAGCCCAAUGAAAGGAUCACCCCACACUUAAAAGAAACUGUUGACUUAGGAGAAAAUUAUCUUAAAAAGAAAUUCAAGCUCAAAUCAUGUCAAAUGCCUUUUCUAUAUUCCUAUUGUUCAAGAAUUCUCAGAAAUAUUAUAAAGUAACUAACAAAUUUCAUUAUUCUUAAAAAUACUUUUUUUCUCUACUUAUCUCUUUAAAGAUUACUUUGACCCUUGUAACUCUUCCCCUCUUCAAAAAUUAAAUUUCCCUUCUGAGUUUUUAUAGGGGCUAAACAAAAAAGGAUGUGGCAUUAAUCAAAUAUUGGAUAUUGACAAAUUAUAGAGUUAAAUCAGGAUAAUAUUUCAUUUAAAAUUGCAAGGAUAAAUAUUGAAG
Non-coding RNA from Vicugna pacos (alpaca), 1144 nucleotides. The record is from RefSeq and is a predicted model, not a curated record. NCBI's taxonomy places the organism in Eukaryota, Metazoa, Chordata, Mammalia, Artiodactyla, Camelidae.